Molecule: ribosomal RNA, 95 nt
Filed under: uncultured bacterium
Lineage: Bacteria
Description: partial 16S ribosomal RNA
Source: RNAcentral
CACGCCCGUCACACUAUGAGAGUCGCCAGCACCCAAAGUUGCUUUAGCUAACCGUUAAGGAGGCGAGCAGUUAAGGUGAGGGGAUGAUUGGAGUG